AGUGGAAUAGUUGGGCCAAAUGGUGGUUCCAUUCCAAGUUUUUUAAGGAAUUUCCAUACUGCUUUCCAUAGUGGUUGCACCAGUUUGCAAUGCCACCAGCAAU
This 103-nucleotide microRNA precursor is filed under the name Marmota monax (woodchuck). Lineage: Eukaryota; Metazoa; Chordata; Mammalia; Rodentia; Sciuridae. The record is from RNAcentral.